RNAcentral lists this ribosomal RNA (253 nucleotides) under uncultured bacterium. Its description in RNAcentral is "partial 16S ribosomal RNA". It matches the Rfam family "Bacterial small subunit ribosomal RNA", at positions 524 to 776 of the family's 1533-position model. The record is from RNAcentral.
UACGUAGGGUGCGAGCGUUGUCCGGAAUUAUUGGGCGUAAAGAGCUCGUAGGCGGUUUGUCGCGUCUGCUGUGAAAACUCGGGGCUUAACUCCGGGCCUGCAGUGGGUACGGGCAGACUAGGGUGCGGUAGGGGAGACUGGAAUUCCUGGUGUAGCGGUGAAAUGCGCAGAUAUCAGGAGGAACACCGGUGGCGAAGGCGGGUCUCUGGGCCGUAACUGACGCUGAGGUGCGAAAGCGUGGGGAGCAAACAGG